GAGGUAGAGGCGCAAAAUGCUAAUAGUCUUUAGGGGAGCUAGAGAGAGUGAUGAAUCUAAGGAGAAGGAGCUUUUGCCGAAGUUUGUAGUAGUUCUCGAUACUACAUGCUGGGUCUAUGGUUAAGAGCCAUAGGACUGUCUUAGUAAACUUCCCCAGUU
RNAcentral lists this non-coding RNA (159 nucleotides) under uncultured Fusobacterium sp. RNAcentral describes it as "Lysine riboswitch". It matches the Rfam family "Lysine riboswitch aptamer", at positions 5 to 163 of the family's 182-position model. Rfam says of the family: Riboswitches are metabolite binding domains within certain messenger RNAs that serve as precision sensors for their corresponding targets. The record is from RNAcentral. Lineage: Bacteria; Fusobacteriati; Fusobacteriota; Fusobacteriia; Fusobacteriales; Fusobacteriaceae.